GCUGGAUGUGGUGGUGCAAGCCUGUAAUCCCAGCAGCUCGGGAGGCUGAGUCAGGAGAAUCGCGAGUUCAAAGCCAGCUUCAGCAACGUCAUGAUGCUAAGCAACUCAGCGAGACCCUGUCUCUA
This 125-nucleotide small RNA is filed under the name Marmota monax (woodchuck). The record is from RNAcentral. Lineage: Eukaryota; Metazoa; Chordata; Mammalia; Rodentia; Sciuridae.